This 253-nucleotide ribosomal RNA is filed under the name uncultured bacterium. RNAcentral describes it as "partial 16S ribosomal RNA". It matches the Rfam family "Bacterial small subunit ribosomal RNA", at positions 524 to 776 of the family's 1533-position model. The record is from RNAcentral.
UACGUAGGGAGCGAGCGUUGUCCGGAAUUACUGGGUGUAAAGGGAGCGUAGGCGGGACUGCAAGUCAGAUGUGAAAUACGUGGGCUUAACCUACGGGCUGCAUUUGAAACUGUAGUUCUUGAGUGAAGUAGAGGCAGGCGGAAUUCCUGGUGUAGCGGUGAAAUGCGUAGAUAUCAGGAGGAACACCGGUGGCGAAGGCGGCCUGCUGGGCUUUUACUGACGCUGAGGCUCGAAAGCGUGGGGAGCAGACAGG